UCGAACGAUGAACCACUUCGGUGGGGGAUUAGUGGCGAACGGGUGAGUAACACGUGGGCAAUCUGCCCUUCACUCUGGGACAAGCCCUGGAAACGGGGUCUAAUACCGGAUAACACCGGCUUCCGCAUGGGAGCUGGUUGAAAGCUCCGGCGGUGAAGGAUGAGCCCGCGGCCUAUCAGCUUGUUGGUGGGGUAAUGGCCUACCAAGGCGACGACGGGUAGCCGGCCUGAGAGGGCGACCGGCCACACUGGGACUGAGACACGGCCCAGACUCCUACGGGAGGCAGCAGUGGGGAAUAUUGCACAAUGGGCGAAAGCCUGAUGCAGCGACGCCGCGUGAGGGAUGACGGCCUUCGGGUUGUAAACCUCUUUCAGCAGGGAAGAAGCGAAAGUGACGGUACCUGCAGAAGAAGCGCCGGCUAACUACGUGCCAGCAGCCGCGGUAAUACGUAGGGCGCAAGCGUUGUCCGGAAUUAUUGGGCGUAAAGAGCUCGUAGGCGGCUUGUCACGUCGGAUGUGAAAGCCCGGGGCUUAACCCCGGGUCUGCAUUCGAUACGGGCAGGCUAGAGUGUGGUAGGGGAGAUCGGAAUUCCUGGUGUAGCGGUGAAAUGCGCAGAUAUCAGGAGGAACACCGGUGGCGAAGGCGGAUCUCUGGGCCAUUACUGACGCUGAGGAGCGAAAGCGUGGGGAGCGAACAGGAUU
This 701-nucleotide ribosomal RNA is filed under the name Streptomyces sp. Its description in RNAcentral is "bacterial SSU rRNA". It matches the Rfam family "Bacterial small subunit ribosomal RNA", at positions 62 to 779 of the family's 1533-position model. The record is from RNAcentral. Lineage: Bacteria; Bacillati; Actinomycetota; Actinomycetes; Kitasatosporales; Streptomycetaceae.